Molecule: ribosomal RNA, 274 nt
Filed under: uncultured bacterium
Lineage: Bacteria
Description: partial 16S ribosomal RNA
Rfam family: Bacterial small subunit ribosomal RNA
Source: RNAcentral
AUACGGAGGGUGCAAGCGUUAAUCGGAAUUACUGGGCGUAAAGCGUGCGUAGGCGGUUUGUUAAGUCAGAUGUGAAAGCCCCGGGCUCAACCUGGGAACUGCAUUUGAUACUGGCAGACUAGAGUAUGGUAGAGGGGGGUAGAAUUUCUGGUGUAGCGGUGAAAUGCGUAGAUAUCAGAAGGAAUACCGGUGGCAAAGGCGGCCCCCUGGACCAAUACUGACGCUGAUGUACGAAAGCGUGGGGAGCGAACAGGAUUAGAUACCCGAGUAGUCC